RNAcentral lists this transfer RNA (76 nucleotides) under Alphaproteobacteria bacterium. Its description in RNAcentral is "tRNA-Trp". It matches the Rfam family "tRNA". Rfam says of the family: Transfer RNA (tRNA) molecules are approximately 80 nucleotides in length. Their secondary structure includes four short double-helical elements and three loops (D, anti-codon, and T loops). Lineage: Bacteria; Pseudomonadati; Pseudomonadota; Alphaproteobacteria. The record is from RNAcentral.
AGGGGUGUAGCUCAAUUGGUAGAGCACCGGUCUCCAAAACCGGGGGCUGGGGGUUCGAGACCCUCCACCCCUGCCA